GACGAACGCUGGCGGCGUGCCUAAUACAUGCAAGUAGAACGCUGACGGAGGAGCUUGCUUCUCUGGAUGAGUUGCGAACGGGUGAGUAACGCGUAGGUAACCUGCCUGGUAGCGGGGGAUAACUAUUGGAAACGAUAGCUAAUACCGCAUAAUAGUAGAUGUUGCAUGACAUUUGCUUAAAAGGUGCAAUUGCAUCACUACCAGAUGGACCUGCGUUGUAUUAGCUAGUUGGUGGGGUAACGGCUCACCAAGGCGACGAUACAUAGCCGACCUGAGAGGGUGAUCGGCCACACUGGGACGGAGACACGGCCCAGACUCCUACGGGAGGCAGCAGUAGGGAAUCUUCGGCAAUGGACGGAAGUCUGACCGAGCAACGCCGCGUGAGGGAAGAAGGUUUUCGGAUCGUAAAGCUCUGUUGUAAGAGAAGAACGAGUGUGAGAGUGGAAAGUUCACACUGUGACGGUAUCUUACCAGAAAGGGACGGCUAACUACGUG
This 495-nucleotide ribosomal RNA is filed under the name uncultured bacterium. RNAcentral describes it as "partial 16S ribosomal RNA". It matches the Rfam family "Bacterial small subunit ribosomal RNA", at positions 28 to 507 of the family's 1533-position model. The record is from RNAcentral.